RNAcentral lists this ribosomal RNA (468 nucleotides) under uncultured bacterium. RNAcentral describes it as "partial 16S ribosomal RNA". It matches the Rfam family "Bacterial small subunit ribosomal RNA", at positions 28 to 507 of the family's 1533-position model. The record is from RNAcentral.
GACGAACGCUGGCGGCGUGCUUAACACAUGCAAGUCGAACGGAAAGGCCUGUCUGUUGUGGGGUGCUCGAGUGGCGAUCGUGUGAGUAACACGUGUGUAACCUGCCCUGUACGUGGGGAUAUCUGUAGGAAACUGGGGCUAAUACCGGAUAGGAGCUGUGGUGGCAUGGUGGGGGUUGGAAAGUUUCGGCGGUUGGUGAUGGACUCGCGGCUUAUCAGCUUGUUGGUGGGGUAGUGGCUUACCAAGGCUUUGACGGGUAGCCGGCCUGAGAGGGUGACCGGCCACAUUGGGACUGAGAUACCACCCAGACUCCACAGGGAGGCAGCAGUGGGGAAUAUUGCACAAUGGGCGGAAGCCUGAUGCAGCACAGCCGCGUGCGGGAUGACGGCCUUCGGGUUGUAACAAAAAAUCGCCUGUGACGAAGCGUGAGUGACGGUAAUGGGUAAAGAAGCACCGGCUAACUACGUG